This 2899-nucleotide ribosomal RNA is filed under the name Xanthomonas campestris. Its description in RNAcentral is "bacterial LSU rRNA". It matches the Rfam family "Bacterial large subunit ribosomal RNA". The record is from RNAcentral. Lineage: Bacteria; Pseudomonadati; Pseudomonadota; Gammaproteobacteria; Lysobacterales; Lysobacteraceae.
GUUAUAUGGUCAAGCGAAUAAGCGCACACGGUGGAUGCCUAGGCGGUCAGAGGCGAUGAAGGACGUGGUAGCCUGCGAAAAGUGUCGGGGAGCUGGCAACAAGCUUUGAUCCGGCAAUAUCCGAAUGGGGAAACCCACUGCUUCGGCAGUAUCUUGCAGUGAAUUCAUAGCUGCUUGAAGCGAACCCGGUGAACUGAAAUAUCUAAGUAACCGGAGGAAAAGAAAUCAACCGAGAUUCCCUGAGUAGUGACGAGCGAACGGGGAACAGCCCUUAAGCUGGAAUGGCUUUAGAAAAACAAUCUGGAAAGAUUGGCCAUAGAAGGUGAUAGCCCUGUAUUUAAAAGGGCCACUCCAGUGAAGACGAGUAGGGCGGGGCACGUGAAACCCUGUCUGAAUAUGGGGGGACCAUCCUCCAAGGCUAAAUACUCCUGACCGACCGAUAGUGAACCAGUACCGUGAGGGAAAGGCGAAAAGAACCCCGGAGAGGGGAGUGAAAUAGAUCCUGAAACCGUGUGCGUACAAGCAGUAGGAGCUCGCAAGAGUGACUGCGUACCUUUUGUAUAAUGGGUCAGCGACUUACUGUUCGUGGCAAGCUUAACCGUAUAGGGGAGGCGAAGGGAAACCGAGUCUGAUAAGGGCGCAUAGUCGCGGGCAGUAGACCCGAAACCGGGUGAUCUAGUCAUGGCCAGGGUGAAGGUGCCGUAACAGGUACUGGAGGCCCGAACCCACGUCUGUUGCAAAAGACGGGGAUGAGCUGUGAUUAGGAGUGAAAAGCUAAUCGAACCCGGAGAUAGCUGGUUCUCCUCGAAAGCUAUUUAGGUAGCGCCUCGGACGAAUACUACUGGGGGUAGAGCACUGUUAUGGCUAGGGGGUCAUCGCGACUUACCAAACCAUUGCAAACUCCGAAUACCAGUACGUACUAUCCGGGAGACACACGGCGGGUGCUAACGUCCGUCGUGAAAAGGGAAACAACCCAGACCCACAGCUAAGGUCCCAAAUUCACUGCUAAGUGGAAAACGAUGUGGAAAGGCAUAGACAGCCAGGAGGUUGGCUUAGAAGCAGCCACCCUUUAAAGAAAGCGUAAUAGCUCACUGGUCGAGUCGGUCUGCGCGGAAGAUUUAACGGGGCUAAGCAGUGAACCGAAGCUUGGGGUGCGUAAAACUUCGGUUUUAUGCGCGGUAGAGGAGCGUUCCGUAAGCCUGCGAAGGUGGAUUGAGAAGUCUGCUGGAGGUAUCGGAAGUGCGAAUGCUGACAUGAGUAACGAUAAUGCGGGUGAAAAGCCCGCACGCCGAAAGCCCAAGGUUUCCUUGCGCAACGUUAAUCGACGCAGGGUUAGUCGGUCCCUAAGGCGAGGGCGAAAGCCGUAGUCGAUGGGAAGCAGGUUAAUAUUCCUGCACCUCGCGUGAGUGCGAUGGAGGGACGGAGAAGGUUAGGUGUACCGGGCGUUGGUUGUCCCGGGGAAAGGCGGUAGGUUUGGAUCUUUGGCAAAUCCGGGAUCCUUUAAGACCGAGCACCGAGACGAGCCUUUAUGGCGAAGUCACUGAUACCACGCUUCCAGGAAAAGCUCCUAAGCUUCAGCUCACGAAGACCGUACCGUAAACCGACACAGGUGGGUAGGAUGAGAAUUCUCAGGCGCUUGAGAGAACUCGGGUGAAGGAACUAGGCAACAUGGCACCGUAACUUCGGGAGAAGGUGCACCCUUUUUGGUGGCUCAUGCGAGCUAUAGCUGAAGAGGGUCGCAGAAACCAGGCCGCUGCGACUGUUUAUCAAAAACACAGCACUCUGCAAACACGAAAGUGGACGUAUAGGGUGUGACGCCUGCCCGGUGCUGGAAGGUUAAUUGAUGGGGUCAGCCGCAAGGCGAAGCUCUUGAUCGAAGCCCCAGUAAACGGCGGCCGUAACUAUAACGGUCCUAAGGUAGCGAAAUUCCUUGUCGGGUAAGUUCCGACCUGCACGAAUGGCGUAACGACAGCGGCGCUGUCUCCACCCGAGACUCAGUGAAAUUGAAAUCGCUGUGAAGAUGCAGCGUUCCCGUGGCAAGACGGAAAGACCCCGUGAACCUUUACUAUAGCUUUACACUGAACGUUGAGUUCGUCUGUGUAGGAUAGGUGGGAGGCUAUGAAACUGUGGCGCUAGCUGCAGUGGAGCCAACCUUGAAAUACCACCCUGUCGUGCUUGACGUUCUAACCUAGAUCCGUUAUCCGGAUCAGGGACCGUGUAUGGUGGGUAGUUUGACUGGGGCGGUCUCCUCCUAAAGAGUAACGGAGGAGCACGAAGGUACGCUCAGCGCGGUCGGACAUCGCGCACUGUGUGCAAAGGCAUAAGCGUGCUUGACUGCAAGAUCGACGGAUCAAGCAGGUACGAAAGUAGGUCUUAGUGAUCCGGUGGUUCUGUAUGGAAGGGCCAUCGCUCAACGGAUAAAAGGUACUCCGGGGAUAACAGGCUGAUACCGCCCAAGAGUUCAUAUCGACGGCGGUGUUUGGCACCUCGAUGUCGGCUCAUCACAUCCUGGGGCUGUAGUCGGUCCCAAGGGUAUGGCUGUUCGCCAUUUAAAGUGGUACGCGAGCUGGGUUCAGAACGUCGUGAGACAGUUCGGUCCCUAUCUGCCAUGGGCGUUGGAAGUUUGAGAGGGGCUGCUCCUAGUACGAGAGGACCGGAGUGGACGAACCUCUGGUGUUCCGGUUGUCACGCCAGUGGCAUUGCCGGGUAGCUAUGUUCGGAAGCGAUAACCGCUGAAAGCAUCUAAGCGGGAAGCGCGCCUCAAGAUGAGACUUCCCGGGGCACAAGCCCCCUAAAGGAACCAUAUAGACUAUGUGGUUGAUAGGUCAGGUGUGUAAGUACAGUAAUGUAUUGAGCUAACUGAUACUAAUGAUCCGUGCGGCUUGACCAUAUAACCUCA